This 121-nucleotide ribosomal RNA is filed under the name Salvator merianae (Argentine black and white tegu). The record is from RNAcentral. Lineage: Eukaryota; Metazoa; Chordata; Lepidosauria; Squamata; Teiidae.
GCUUAUGCCUCAACAGAUGGCAGCACCAAGCCGACCCUAGCUGAGCUGGAAAAUCUAAAAAGGAUUGAACCUGGCUAUUAGUUGGAUGGGAGACCACCUGGAAAUCCUGGUGCCAUAAGCA